This 501-nucleotide ribosomal RNA is filed under the name uncultured Glomeromycotina. RNAcentral's name for it is "partial small subunit ribosomal RNA". It matches the Rfam family "Eukaryotic small subunit ribosomal RNA", at positions 591 to 1092 of the family's 1831-position model. Lineage: Eukaryota; Fungi; Glomeromycota. The record is from RNAcentral.
CCAAUAGCGUAUAUUAAAGUUGUUGCAGUUAAAAAGCUCGUAGUUGAAUUUCGGAAUCAAUGGAUCGGUCAUGCCAAUCGGUGUGUACUGGUUUGAUUGGUUCUCACCUUCUAAGGAACCGUGAUGUCAUUAAUUUGGUGUCGCGGGGAAUUAGGACUGUUACCUUGAAAAAAUUAGAGUGUUUAAAGCAAGCUCACGCUUGAAUACAUUAGCAUGGAAUAAUGAAAUAGGACAUUGUAUUCUAUUUUGUUGGUUUCUAGGAUCGAUGUAAUGAUUAAUAGGGAUAGUUGGGUGCAUUAGUAUUCAAUUGUCAGAGUUGGAAUUCUUGGAUUUAUUGAAGACUAACUACUGCGAAAGCAUUUGCCAAGGAUGUUUUCAUUAAUCAAGAACGAAGGUUAGGGGAUCGAAGACGAUCAGAUACCGUCGUAGUCUUAACCAUAAACUAUGCCGACUAGGGAUCGUAUGAUGUUAAUUUUAUAAUGACUCAUUCGGCACCUUACG